CGCGGCCUAUCAGCUUGUUGGCGGGGUAAUGGCCCACCAAGGCAGUGACGGGUAGCUGGUCUGAGAGGAUGGCCAGCCACAUUGGGACUGAGAGACGGCCCAGACUCCUACGGGAGGCAGCAGUGGGGAAUCUUGCGCAAUGGCCGAAAGGCUGACGCAGCGACGCCGCGUGUGGGAGGACGCCCUUCGGGGUGUAAACCACUGUUGCCCGGGACGAAACCGGCUUUGAGCCGAUUGACGGUACCGGGUGAGGAAGCACCGGCUAACUCCGUGCCAGCAGCCGCGGUAAUACGGAGGGUGCGAGCGUUGUCCGGAAUCACUGGGCGUAAAGGGCGCGUAGGCGGCUCGAUAAGGCUGUGGUGAAAGUCCGGGGCUCAACCCCGGAUCGGCCGUGGCGACUGUUGGGCUGGAGCACUGUAGAGGCGGGUGGAAUUCCGGGUGUAGCGGUGGAAUGCGUAGAGAUCCGGAAGAACACCGGUGGCGAAGGCGGCCCGCUGGGCAGUAGCUGACGCUGAGGCGCGACAGCGUGGGGAGCAAACAGGAUUAGAUACCCUGGUAGUCCACGCCGUAAACGAUGGGCACUAGGUGCUUGGGGGAGCGACCCUCCGAGUGCCGGCGCUAACGCAUUAAGUGCCCCGCCUGGGGAGUACGG
This 652-nucleotide ribosomal RNA is filed under the name uncultured bacterium. RNAcentral's name for it is "bacterial SSU rRNA". It matches the Rfam family "Bacterial small subunit ribosomal RNA", at positions 232 to 885 of the family's 1533-position model. The record is from RNAcentral.